AUUGAACGCUGGCGGCAGGCCUAACACAUGCAAGUCGAGCGGAUGCAGCGAGCUUGCUCCUGCAUUCAUCGGCGGCCGGUUGAGUCAUGCCUAUGAAUCUGCCUGGUCUUGCCGGAUAACGUCCGGAUACGGGCUCUAAUACUGCAUCCGUCCUUUUGUCGCAAUUGGGUGAUCUUCCGAUCUCACGCUAUCAUAUUAGCCUAGGUCCGAUCAGCUAGUUGGGGGGGUAACGGCCUACCAAGGCGACGAUCCGUAACUGGUCUGAGAGGAUGAUCAGUCACACUGGAACUGAGACACGGUACAGACUCCUACAGGAGGCAGCAGUGGGGAAUAUUAGACGAUGGGCGAAAGCCUGAUCCAGGCAUGCCGCGUGUGUGAAGAGGGUCUACGGAUUGUAAAGCACUGUAAGUUGGGAGGAAGGGAAGUAAGUUAAUACCUGACUGUUUUGACGUUACCAACAGAAUAAGCACCGGCUAACUUCGUG
RNAcentral lists this ribosomal RNA (484 nucleotides) under uncultured bacterium. Its description in RNAcentral is "partial 16S ribosomal RNA". It matches the Rfam family "Bacterial small subunit ribosomal RNA", at positions 30 to 507 of the family's 1533-position model. The record is from RNAcentral.